Molecule: unclassified non-coding RNA, 483 nt
Filed under: Hevea brasiliensis (rubber tree)
Lineage: Eukaryota; Viridiplantae; Streptophyta; Magnoliopsida; Malpighiales; Euphorbiaceae
Source: RNAcentral
AAGUGAACCACUUGGAGUCGCUGGACUACCCAAAGAAAUUGUUAAAGUUUCAGCUGGUUGUCAUCAUUCUUCUGCUAUUACAGUGGAUGGAGAACUUUAUAUGUGGGGGAAGAACACAUAUGGUCAGCUUGGCCUUGGAAAGAAAGCUGAUACGGUACUGUCUAUACCCAAUAAAGUUGAAUGCUUGAAUGGAGUCACAAUCAAAAUCAUUUCCCUAGGUUUCGAACACUCAAUUGCUGUAACAGAUAAAGGUGAGACUUUGAGUUGGGGUGGGGGACAAUCAGGAAGACUUGGUCAUGGACAUCAAUCAGGCAUUUUUGGACUCAUAAAAAGUGACAGUGAAUACACACCACGACUUAUUAAGGAACUUGAGGGGUUGAAGGUUAAGAAUGCUUCUGCUGGAAUGUUGCAUUCUGUCUGCAUUAGCGAGAAUGGAUCUGUACAUAUUUUUGGUGAAAGAGCAAAUAAGAAAUUGGGCUUUAG